UUUACAUUUGUGGAAUUCAUCAGUUUAUAGUUAUAUGCACUGUGAUUUCUUAAUGUCCAUCGAGAGGCAAAGUUUACUUUAGUAUGAUCUUCAACCAUCUACCUCUUUACAUGUUGGUUUAUGAUAAUGUGCUUAACUUCCUCUGCUUAAUUAUUUGUGUAGAACUUAAUUAUCUGGUGUUGCAGUACUGGGUCACAUCUGCUUGCUGCUUCAAUGUGCUUAUCUUCCUCUCCUUGUUUUAUGUGUCAUUCAUUGGACAGUGCUCAUUCCUCUUCAAAUUGG
Molecule: unclassified non-coding RNA, 282 nt
Filed under: Hevea brasiliensis (rubber tree)
Lineage: Eukaryota; Viridiplantae; Streptophyta; Magnoliopsida; Malpighiales; Euphorbiaceae
Source: RNAcentral